RNAcentral lists this ribosomal RNA (301 nucleotides) under uncultured bacterium. RNAcentral's name for it is "partial 16S ribosomal RNA". It matches the Rfam family "Bacterial small subunit ribosomal RNA", at positions 509 to 807 of the family's 1533-position model. The record is from RNAcentral.
CAGCAGCCGCGGUAAUACGGAGGGUGCAAGCGUUAAUCGGAAUUACUGGGCGUAAAGCGCACGCAGGCGGUUUGUUAAGUCAGAUGUGAAAUCCCCGAGCUUAACUUGGGAACUGCAUUUGAAACUGGCAAGCUAGAGUCUUGUAGAGGGGGGUAGAAUUCCAGGUGUAGCGGUGAAAUGCGUAGAGAUCUGGAGGAAUACCGGUGGCGAAGGCGGCCCCCUGGACAAAGACUGACGCUCAGGUGCGAAAGCGUGGGGAGCAAACAGGAUUAGAGACCCGUGUAGUCCCUGUCUCUUAUAC